GACAACGUGGCUUCGAUAACAAGAACAAAGCGAACUCUUAGAUCUUAUUGAUGCCUCAGUUGGAAGCGAUUGAUUGACGCCGUCACCUCCACGCAACCCCGCGAUACCUUAAACUUCGAAACCAAAAAUUAGGGGCCGACGAUAUUUUUCUCGGGGAUGGUUGGCCACUAUGGAGUUUAGUAAUGAAGAAGAGAAUCCCGGUUCCCGAAGCCCUCGUUUCGCCUGACCCGCGGCCAUGGACGAAUAAAAAAACGUACCCAACAUCGAUGCCAUCCGGUUCCCCAAUCGGAUUGAGGAGGGGCGCCCGGAUAUUUGGGUUUGCCUGGUGAAAGUCAAUUCAGAAUCUGUUGCAGAUUUCUGUUUAGCAUGCUGGAGGUUUAAAGAGCGGACAGCAAUCGACACAAUCCGCAACCAACUACCAACGUGAACCAAACGAAGCGGUCGACUGUUAAAUUUAUAUUAUGGGACGACACGCCAAAAGAGAGGCCAUCAACAUAGCAAUGAUUUCCAUAUCCGCCUCCAAUUUCUAAGAGUGCGUCUUUUAUGGCUUCGGCGUCCCGCCGUAUUUCAAAGCGCCAACUUUUGCUACCGGUUAACUGAACACUUUGGCUUUUUGUCCUUAUACCACCGUUGCCGAACCUCAUCAAAACUCAGUGGUGCUGUUUACAAGACGGCAUGUUUCGUGUUCCAACCCGCCUUGGAGGUGUCGUGGGUUUUACACUUCCAGUGACCCGCCGCAGCUUGGGGGACUCUAGUCCUGAAAGCAUCACGUACACUAGCCGACCAAUUAACUUUGAACAAAAGCGGGAACUACACGGCGCUCUCAUGACCAUAUUAUUCAUGAUCCUCUUCCCUAUCGGUUCGUUAUCGAUGCACCUCCGAACCAAAGUUUGCAUCGCACCAUACAUCCAUGCGCUUAUUCAAACAAUCGACAGAAUCAUGGCAAUCAUGGCCGUGGCGCUGGGCAUCAAUUUGACAAGCGAUCUAGAAUUCUGGAAUCCGCUCCGCACCCAUGUCAUUGUGGGAUUAGUUGCAACAGGAAUAAUCCUGUUCAUUCAGCCUGCGCUGGGUAUUGUACAGCACCAUUACUUUGGAAUAGCUAGGGCCGGAUAUGUUAAUAGCCGCAUUUUUGGCGUUAUGCAUAGAUGGCUAGGGAGGGUAGCUGUAGUUUUGGGCAUGGCGAAUUCUGGCCUCGGAUUCCAGCUGGUUGGUGGCGAGGAAAACGUGCCUAAGGGAUCUCUGGUGUGGAACUUUGUUCUUAUGGGCGUCUUCAUAUUGUUAUGGUUUUCGGCUGUCCUGAUAGAUUUCCUUGGACGGCGGAGGGAGAGGCCGGUGCAAACGGAGCGGGAAAUAGCGGAAGCGAUAUCUACCACAGCUGGGGAAAGCGGCGGUAUCAGGAAUACAACCUUUCAAAUCCCCAACAAUAGGCUUCCCCGAUAAAAAUUAUCUCCUCCUCGUCCGUUGUGAGAGCCGAUAAGAACCAUCGAGGAGACUCUAGGGAAGUGAAUUAGGGCUCUGCAGGGCUGCCCUAACUCUAAUGCGGCUAGGGUUUGGGUCGUGGCUGGCCGAAUUCGGAAGCCACAGGGCCACCCAGGGCAGGAACUGGCCAGAAGCGGCGAUUGAUGACUAACCUUGGGAGGGCAGACCGGCGAAACACCUACAACCCUGCCUGAGACACCACGGCUAUCCAGAACAUCCAGGUUGAUAGUCUGCUGUUCUCCUGCUGCUCGUUUCAGUGCCAGUUCCAAGUCCACUGGUGUGUGAAUUCGUCUCACCUGUUAGUUUCUCAAUAACCCAAUUACUACUACCCCUCCGGCACUAAAAGCCGAAUCCUUCGGAGCAUACGUCACAUAGUACUCGUACUAGUUCAAGAUCCAACCCACCACUUUCUCUGCUCCCUCAGCUUAUUUUCUUUCUUCAUUUCCUCCUUCAAAACAGCCAUAUAUAUAUAUCGGAGUAUAUUCGUUAACAGAAAUUAUCGUAUUCCUUCUACUUCCGUCACUCACUGUGGAAUGAUCUGGGGUACUGGUCUCACUCACCACCUCCGGAACCCUGCGCAUACUCGACUACAACAAGCACCUUACUUAUAGGUUGUUUUUAUAGUCAUUUAUGCGGCAGCAUCCAAUUUUUCCAUAUCCGCCUUCCCGGGCUGGGUACUGGGCCCCUAUAACUUCAACACUGAACUGGUGCGAAGAGGAUUACUAUGCGAGCUUCUAUCUCGCUGAGUUUGUGAAUGCGCUCACGAAUUGUUUAUUCCUCUGGUUAGGCGUCAAAGGCAUUCUGAGUUGUAGAAGGAAUGGCCACGACUCAAUUUUCCAGAUCGCCUUCCUUGGUUACCUCACAGUCGGAUUGGGCAGCUUCCUCUUCCACGCUACCUUAAAAUACCCCAUGCAACUCGUCGACGAACUUUCUAUGAUCUACACAACCUGUUUAGUUUGCUAUGCCACAUUUUCCUACUCCAAACCUACGAAAACUCGAAUACUCCUGGCCCUAUUCCUCCUGGCCCUUGCUAUUGUCAUAACUUUAUACUACCACUAUAUCCAAAACCCAAUCUUUCACCAAAACGCCUAUGCUCUUCUCACGGCUAUUGUUCUCCUUCGCAGCAUGUGGGUCAUGGAGGCUGCGCUGCGGCCAUCGUGGCGCAAUAAAGGCCUGGAACGAAACCAACAGUUUCAUUCCUACGAAGACAUGCGUGACUUGAAGAUCUUACAUACUAUGUGGGUUAUGGUGGCUUACGGCCUCGCCACCUUCUUGGGCGGCUUCGCGAUCUGGAAUCUGGACAAUGUGCUCUGCUCCCGCUUGCGCGGAUGGCGAAGAAAGAUCGGGCUGCCCUGGGGCAUCCUACUGGAAGGUCACGGCUGGUGGCAUCUUAUGACUGGAAUUGGCGCAUACAUGUACAUUGUCUGGGGAAUAUGGCUACGUCACUGUCUAAAUGGACUCCAGGAAGAAUAUCAAUUACAAUGGCCCCGCAUUUAUAGUUUUCCGGACGUCGUUCGCGUUUCCAAUCAGGGCAAGAGGAGCACAAAUGGUUCGACCAAGUUACCAGCGGCGCAUAAACCAUAUCAAAAUGGUAUGGCGAAGAAGAUCAAUUAGGCAUUUUUUACCCACCUUAUACUGACCGACCUAUUUUCUAACUCUUUUGCUAUAUAUAUAUAUAUGUAUGUGUGUGUGUGUGUGUGUUUGUUUGUGGAGGCAUGAAGGGGACUGCCCCACCUCUCAGCAACGGCAUUACGUCGGCCCUAUAUAGACGCACGGUUCUGUGAUAUAUGAUGUAUCUGUAUUAGACGGGGUUUGUGGACUUGGUCUACCCGGGCACGCAUGGAUAAAUGUGAUGGCCUUCUGUUGGACGGCUGUCGGUUUUGGUACCCCUUUUCAUUUCUUUCUUUUCUCUUUCGUUUACGUUUUCAUAUUAUUACACACUACUAGACUUUUCGCAUGUACUGAUGAUAGCUUUGGCCUCGCGUCAGUUAGGGAGCAUCUAAAAUUAUGGGCUUUACUCCUUAGCUGAGGAUGGGAAAUUGGAAAUAUUAUGGAUAUUGGAAUAAAUGGCAUAUGAAUUGUGCCAAUAAGGGAUAUCACAUGCAUACGUGCAGAGUCUUAUGUGGUACACAAAUAUAUGUUAUGUGGAAAAAAUCUAUCAAGGCCUCAAAUGAGAAAAAUCAUCUAUAAAAGCACCCUCAACGAUGAAACCAUAUAUAUAAAAGAAGAAACCCCAUCUAUUGUCUCAUAAUUUUGCGUCAACCCUGGCCGCUCCACCAACCCCAUUCGACUGAUUAUUCCUAACCGGUGGCUUAGCAUGUCCUCUCCACUCCUCAUCGAUCGUAGCCUUCUCAAUCUUAGAUUUCUUCUCCCACUCCCGUCUAAACUCCCCUUCCUCCCUCCUCCACCUCUGCAUCUCCUUCCCAAUCCACUCGGCCGCGUGGUCCGCCGUCUCCCCCACCGCCUCCAUCGGAAUCAAAUGCCCCACAUCCUUCAGCAGAACGGACUUGACACGACCAUCCGCCACCCCGCCGCUCCCUCCAACCCCAAUGCCUGCGUUGUCCAGCUUAGCUUGGCAGUGAUGCGGGAGACACAUAUCUGACUUGUCCGCAAAGACGUAUAGGACUGAGGGGCGGAGAUGAGGGAGUCGGGCGAAGGUUAGGGCAGCUUCGGGGCGGUAGAAUGGGAAUGCGUAUGUGAUGCCGGGAGCGAGAUCGGGGUGCGUGAGCCUGUUUAUGGGCCUCGUGUUGGGUGGGUCGAAGUUUGGGCGCGAGAAUGUGAAGACUUCCUGGUGCCGGGUUGUGGUAAGGGUUACGGGAUUUUCGCUGUGGGUUGCUGGUGAAGUUGGCGACAAUGAUGAUGAUGAUGAUUGCGGUGAAGGAUAAAGUGCGGUGGGGAGUUCGCGGAGGCCGUAUUUGAUCCAAAGGUCGAGGACGCGGGGGUCCCAGUGCUGGUAGAAUGGACUUUUCUUGACAGCUUCAGCGGCCGCAGCGCGGGAAGGCCAGAUAUCACGUCGGUAGCUGGAGGCGACUGUUGUGGCGGGUGCUGUGCUGGAUUCAAGUUUGUUAUGAAAGAUGUCGUCUUGCGGGGUUAUUUCUGGGCGGUAGAUGACAGGGUCCAGGAGGAUGAGGGAGGUGAGGAGUCGAGGGUGUAAGAGGCUUAGGUUGACUAGGUUGUUACCACCCAUACUAUGACCAAUGCCG
This 4682-nucleotide small RNA is filed under the name Histoplasma capsulatum var. duboisii H88. RNAcentral describes it as "Histoplasma capsulatum H88 hypothetical RNA". The record is from RNAcentral. Lineage: Eukaryota; Fungi; Ascomycota; Eurotiomycetes; Onygenales; Ajellomycetaceae.